GACAGAGGGUGCAAACGUUGUUCGGAAUUGCUGGGCGUAAGGAGUGCGUAGGUGGUGCCCUAAGUCUGUUGUGAAAUCUCCCGGCUUAACUGGGAGGGUGCGGUGGAAACUGGGGUGCUUGAGUGUGGGAGAGGUAAGCGGAAUUCCUGGUGUAGCGGUGAAAUGCGUAGAUAUCAGGAGGAACACCGGUGGUGUAGACGGCUUACUGGACCACGACUGACACUGAGGCACGAAAGCGUGGGUAGCAAACAGG
Molecule: ribosomal RNA, 253 nt
Filed under: uncultured bacterium
Lineage: Bacteria
Description: partial 16S ribosomal RNA
Rfam family: Bacterial small subunit ribosomal RNA
Source: RNAcentral